GGUGUGCAUAUACACUCAGAGUAACAUUGCAAGCAUCAUAUUCACCUGAGUACAUUACACCAACACAGAAAAAAUCUAGAAUCGUGUCCAAAUUCAACGAAACUGCAAGAAAACCCGAGCUAUGGUAUGGGCAGUAAUAUACACCUAUUUUCUGAAAUCCUACCAUCGCAAGUCCCCCCCCCCGGAAUUUUUUUUGGGGGUUUGUUACCACUAACAUAUGUGCCACUUGACUUUGAUAACAACAUAAGAGAAUAGAAAAUUUGAUAUGUUUAAAAUAUUUAAUAUCCUUCCUUUAAGGGUUUACCUUAAUUUAAAGACAAUCCUGGAAAAAAAUUAGUAGACUUCUUAAAU
Paramuricea clavata is the source of this 351-nucleotide non-coding RNA. The record is from the annotation of a GenBank genome assembly. NCBI's taxonomy places the organism in Eukaryota, Metazoa, Cnidaria, Anthozoa, Malacalcyonacea, Plexauridae.